This is an RNA transcript of Mobula hypostoma (lesser devil ray), 5678 nucleotides long. RefSeq lists it as uncharacterized. The transcript has 4 exons. The record is from RefSeq and is a predicted model, not a curated record. Lineage: Eukaryota; Metazoa; Chordata; Chondrichthyes; Myliobatiformes; Myliobatidae.
AGUAACCGACGGGGUAUGAGGGGGAGGUGGGGCAUUAGCGGAAGUUAGAGAAGUCAAUGUUCAUGCCAUCAGGUUGGAGGCUACCCAGACGGAAUAUAAGGUGUUGUUCCUCCAACCUGAGUGUGGCUUCAUCUUUACAGUAGAGGAGGCCGUGGAUAGACAUGUCUGAAUGGGAAUGGGAUGUGGAAUUAAAAUGUGUGGCCACUGGGAGAUCCUGCUUUCUCUGGCUAGCACUUUGAUUUAUCAGUGUUUGAUACAGGGAACAAUUUAUAAGAGCUAAAAUAAUUCAUUUGCUGAAUGUUAAAGGUGCUAUCAUGUUACAAUGUUUUAAUUAUGAAUGGGAAUUAGAUAAAAGAAACAUCCAAAGAAAUGUAGUGCAAGAAAUUCAUACUGAUAAUAAACAUUUAGCAAAUGAAUUUGGCUACCAGUCUUCACAUCUGAAAAUGUGCAUUUAAUUUGGCGUGCAGCUCUGAACAAUGAGUUCCUAAAAGCUGUGAAUCGCAGUCCAGCCAAUGCUGAUUAAAAUUCAUUUGGAUGCCUGUAGUGUGGAUGCAAAUCAAGAGGUGUGAAGAUUGUAUGUAGUUUCAAAGAAAGCAUUAUUCCUAUAUUAUAAAUAUGGAGUUCUCCUUUGAUGUUUAGCACAUAAAAUAUAGAGCCCUAUCUUGGGUCAGCAGAUCUUUCCACCGAAAGCAUCUCCAUAUGAUGCCUGCUGUACCUUGUUUCAUCGAAUAAAGAAGCUGCUUUGUUUCUACCAGUGAUUUCAUUCACACAACAUUAUUUGGUGUCAGAAGUGGGAUACCUUUGUGACGCAUCAUGUGGCCAGCAAUCUUGGGCAGUCUAAGUGGGUGAGUAUUUAAAAAAAAAUGCUCGGGUCGGUGGUACACAGGAACACGAGGAAUCAUGAACACAGGGAACUGAACUGGUAGAGAUAAAUGUGGUAUGUGUACAUGUGCAUGUGUGUUUUUCUAAGAGAGGAAACUUUGUGUGUUAGUUUGAUGAGACGGAAUCACCAACUGCAAAGGGUGGUUAUCGACAGUUCUGAUCGGCAGAGUGGAGAUGUGUAUACUCGUUCGGGGAGCUGCAUUUUAGUGUACAUGCUUUGCGAGUGUGAUGCAAGGCAGUACAGCAGGCACCAUGAGUUCAGGUUCUGAAAAGUGGCAGAUUGUAGGGUACAUACUCAGCAGUUUUACGUAUGUGCUAUUUAAGUGGUAUCCAUCAUUUAUAUUUUGUGUAGUGUGGGAGUUGGUGUGGAGAUAUUUCAGGGAGGGGUUUUACCCAGAUAUAUCUGCCAGGAUGGCACCCAUUGAGUGCAGCCAACAUCAGGUUAAGAACCCUAACGAUCCGAGCCAGCCUUUGACCUUGAUUACGGCCAUUCAUAAGCCCUUCACCCCAGGGAAGAAACAGCAUUUUGUCGGAGUUGCCCUCACUUAAAGUCGCAUGUGGGAAUUUGGAAUUCUGGCGCAAGAAAUUCUGUUGAAUUUCACCAGAUGUAUACCUAAAGCUAUACACACGUUGGUAAAAAUGAAGUGCGCAAGCAAUAUGUGGGACAGGAUGGCCCAGGGGGUGCGGGAUGGUACCUGGGCAACUACUGGGCAUACCAGCCAUGAAGAAAGAUAUCGCUCUUUUAAAGGGGAGGAGAGGCAGCAAUUGGGGGGAAGUGAGAUAACUGGGGAACGAUAACAACAAUGAUUCAAAAAGCUGAUGAGACAGGCAUGGAUUAUGCAGAACAAGAAUAUCAAGCGUGUGGGGAGUAUUCUUGAGGGUGAGGGUGUGAGGUUGGAGCUCAGGAGGACGAUGGCACCUAACGGCAACUCCUUUGCUUGCAUCUUCGGAAGCAGCUCUAUUUUUAUUUUUGAUAUCUCUUUUUUCCCCCUUUCAGGGUUCUUUUGAAGACCCUGACCUGGAAUUACAUGCUAACUUCAGUUCUUUGUGGGAAUGGGACCCACUCUCCAGGUCUCACGACUGGCCGUUGUUCGAUAUACCAAGGACGCCUGGGAUAUUAACGCUUCUUCGGUGUUUCAGGAUUUCGUGGCUCUGGAGGCAGGCAGACACGAGAUCAGUACCUCUGCAGGAAAUCGGUGUGUCAUGGGAGAUGGAAGAUCGAAAGCAGCCAGCAGGUUGUGGCACAGAGACCCGAGUUCUUUGGGGACAGAGUUUGGAAAAAGCAACGCAACAGACUUUUAAAAUCAUAAAUCAAUAAAAUAUAGAAGAAGAGACUCAAAAAAUACAGUAGGUUAACAGAGAACCAAGACAGGACAGAAUUCCACAAUCAGAGGAAAAGAUCUUGGAAUUCUUUACCCAAGAGACUGUGGAACCUCCAUAUUUCCUCAAUGAGCAAGACAAUUGAAUGUGCUGGCUGUGAGAUGGAAGCGGCUGAAACAGUUUAUGGUUGGGUGACUGGUGUCCCCGAUGAUUUUCCAGGCCUUCUUUAUGCACCUGCUGCUGUAAAUGUCCUCAGUGGAGGGAAGUUCACAUCCACAGAUGCGCUGGGCUGUCUGUACCACUCCCUACAGUGCUCAGAGAUCAAGUAAUAUGAUCUUAUGCAAGAAGCAUAUCACCACUCACCAAGCUUUGGAAAUUUAGUUGAACUCUGGUAGGAAGAAACAAUAAUGUACAGAAGAAAAUUAUUGUAAUAUGGAACUCACUGCUUGUACAGAUGACAGAAACACUCAUCAUCGGAGCUUUCAAAAUGGAAAUGAAUAGGCAUGUAAGAAAUGAAUUUGUCUACAAAUAUUCUUACAUGCUUAGUAUGCAAAAUAGUCAAUGAAAUUACAGUAAACAACAGGAAUUCUGCAGAUGCUGGAAAUUCAAGCAACACACAUAAAAGUUGCUGGUGAACGCAGCAGGCCAGGCAGCAUCUCUAAGAAGAGGUGCAGUUGAUGUUUCUGGCCGAGACCCUUCGUCAGGACUAACUGAAGGAAGAGUGAAAUUACAGUAUUUAUUAUGAUAAGGACUUUUGCUCAUAAUACUUUUGUAUUUAGAAUAGAACAUCAAAUAUUACAGCACAGUACAGGCUCUUUGGUGAUUUAACAACAGUGUUAGGUGAAUAAGCCAUCCUAAGAAAAACCAGAGAAGAGAUGUGAUUGAAGUUUUUAAGAUUAUGAGAGGCAUUGAGAAACAGCCAAAUCUUUUUCCUAGGUCUGAAAUGUCUAAUACAAGGGGGCAUGCAUUUCAGUUGAAAGUUCAAAUAAGAUGUGCAGGGCAAGUAUUUGACACAGAGAGUGAUGGGUACCUAAAAUGUGCUAGGAGGAGUAAUGGUGAAUACAGAUACAACACAGGUGUUAAUAGCCAUUUAGAUAUACAUGAAUAUGCACAGAAUGGAGGGAUAUGGACUAGGUGCAGGCAGAAGGGAUUAGUUUAGUUUAAUUAGUUCAGCAUGACAACAUAGGUCGAAACACCUAUUGUUGAGAUGCACUGUUCUAAUAAAUUCUCAAAGCACGGUAGUUACGUCCCCCCUAAUUAAAGAGGCAACCUGCUCUUCUCUCUUACUUAUACCACUAUAACACCUGUAGCACCUGUACCCUGGAACAGUGAGAACAUCGAACCUGGGAAGAACAGCCCUUCCAUCCAUGACAUUUGAAAUAAAUGAAGUUUGAACCAUUCUUUGAUGUGCUCCUCACUGUGCUAUUAAAUAAUGUGCUCUCAUCAAUUGUAGUAUUUUCCCCGAUUUGUCACUUGCCUCAAAUCUGCUCAGGGUCUCAGUGCACCCCAUGUCAAUCUAGUUGAAAUCCACCCUAGUAGCUAUCAGCCUUCCUAUUCCAAUGUGACAGGGCUUCCACUGCAUACGUGACCAUUGGCCUUCAGUGUCGCUACCACCAUAGCAGUAUCUGGAAAGGCUGCAGAACAUUAAAUCCUUUUAUAUCAGAUAUCGUCAAGAGUAAUUUUUCACUUUCACUGGGUAUCUGAACUUCCAAUUAAUAAUCUUAAUUUAAUAACAAUGUAAUAACAAUGUAUUUGCAAGAGCAGCAAUUUGGGAUAUUUCUCAGGCACCAGAUAAGGUAAAAUCAAAAUGGAAGUUCUAUUUACCUUACUUUAUGACCAAAAAUUUACUUUUAAAUGUUCAUAAUGCUUAUUAAUUGAUGUUUGGGGAGAAGACCCCCAGUACGGAAAGCAGUUGCAAAUGAUUAGCCCUUUAGUGCAAAUCCUAUUCGGUUUUCAAGUUUCAGUGUAGAUGCUAAAACCAGUAAAACUGUGAAUUCAGCAUUAAAUUUCUUUAAAAUAAUUUGCUAAGGCUUUCAAAGUCACUAGCUUAAUAUGAAAUCCAAUCCUUAGGCUCCUAUAAAAAGGAUGCUGCCACUGCAUCAGGAACAUGAGUAUCCUGCAGUGAUCAGAAUCAUUGCUGAGGUUAGACUUUCUUGACUUCUGUACAAUAUUGCAGGAAGAUAAAAGAAAUAAGAUGGUUUUGAGGCUAAGGAUGAUAAAAGAAACAGUCAAAGAAAACUAUCUCCACAUCAGACCCUUUCUGAAUCAAAUAAAAAUAAGCAUUUGUUUAUAGUGUGGAUUCCAGUUAAUUAUGCCUUCGGUUAAUCAGGGCAGCCACAUAUUUGGGACAAUUCUUAAAGACCAGAAACAAAUCAAACAAUAUCUGGGAUUCCCUUUGUUUAUUUGGGACACAUGCUGCUUAAUUGAGGCAGAAGACUGUUGCCAAAAUUUACUAACUAGCAUCAGUCUUGUGCACAGUGCUUAGUACCAAGUGCCACUUAUGUGUUUGUGUUCAAAAUACAGUGAUUUUUGUCACUGAUGCAUGGCAAGCAAUAAACAGUAAGCCAAUUCAGAAUUGUUUUGCUUACUGCAGUUUCAACCAUUCAGGCUUGAAGAUGCUUGAGAUGGCUGGGAGUGAAAAUGAAAUGAUUUCACUACUUUAACAAGUAGUGACAACAAGUAUUGAAAAUCAUCUUGAAUGUUACAAUGAAAAUGAGGAUUUGAAGCACUGUUUGAAAGCACUAGGUUUCUGCACGGAUUUUGUUCUUUUGACUGACUAAAUGAACAUGUCAGCAUGCACUGAAUGACUUCCUCUGUCAAUAACAAUUACAAAGCAACACACAGUUUUAUAGUACAGUAUUAGUAUUGGUAGCAUUCUAAUUUGUUCUGUAUUUCAUUUAAAUACAUAAUUUGUUACUCAGUCAAAUGGUAGUUUGGCUUUUUUUAUACCCUUUUGACAAUUUCCAUUAAUUUUCAGCUAAUUGGGGCAGCCACUUAACUAGGGCAAAAUGCACUGGUGCCAUAUUCCUGUGGAACACUGCCCACUGGCUACUGCAGACAAGACUGCUGCAUUCAAUCUCACUUAUUAACCUCAAUUACAAUAAACCAGUGGGUUUUGUGAUCUGUUGUACCUGUGGUGGCUUUUGAAAGAACAUUUAAUUUAGUUCCAAUCAUAUAUAAUCGAAGUAUUGAGUAUAAGAACUGGAAUGUUAUGAUGAGGUUGUAUAAGGCAUUGGUGAGGCUGAAUCUGGAGUAUUGUGUUCAGUUUUGGUCACCAAAUUACAGGAAGGAUAUAAAUAAGGUUGAAAGAGUGCAGAGAAGGUUUACAAGGAUGUUGCCGGGACUUGAGAAACUCAGUUACAGAGAAAGGUUGAAUAGGUUAGGACUUUAUUCCCUGGAGCGUAGAAGAAUGAGGGGAGAUUUGAUAGAGGUAUAUAAAAUUAUGAUGGGUAUAGAUAGAGUGAAUGCAAGCAGGC